CCCAGAAACACCACCAGCCAAAGCCUUAAGAGAUAGGUAUGCUGUGAAGAAGCAGGUAUGAAAGAUAGAAUGAUACGAUACAAAAAAGAAACUGCAUAUACACUGGCUGGAGUAGCUGCAAAGUGGCUUUUUCCAGGUCCGAAGGGAUCCAAUGCCCAACUACCGCCCAAAAUUACAUUAUUGGAGCCAAGCCAGGAAUGGCCGUUAGUGGACACCCACCACUUUUCACCGGUUGGAGAUAAUCGAAUGACUUGAAACACUUCUCUAUAAGAAGCACUAUUGGAUUGGUUGCAACCACACCUACACUAUGGUGCCUCCAAGACAUCCUGCCCCCUUCCAAGUGAUUAAAUCAAAUAAGGUAAGUAAGAAUCACCAACCAAAUCAUAAACUCAAUCCUAAACUUCAGAGUGGAAGAUAACAAAAGGUGAGUUUUCUGGCUAUUCUUGAAGAAGCUGGUAUUGAAUCGGUUGCUCAAGAAGGGAUUGACCUAAGACCCGAUCAAGCUUAAGAAUUUGUGCUCGAAGACAGAGGCUGUAGUUCUCCUUCAUCGUUGAAUUGGGGCUAAUCCUCCUAUCUCUUAAAGGUUGGUCGAUAAUCAAUUCCCUUUACUGGAACCUCUUUCAGACCUGUCUUUGAAGAUCUUGAAAAUAAAAAACCAUAGUAAAUAGUAAAUACAGGAGAAAAUGAGGAUUCUGAAAUAAUGUUGAAAGUAAUUAAUUGAAAACUACAAAUUAGUAUUUAUCGUAGCAAAAUGUGGUUAUUAUAAUCUAAGGACAAUCAUUCUCCCAAACGUCCCUUGAAUCAUCAACAAUCAUGUAAAUUUUAUAUUGAUUAUCUUGUUCAUAUUAUGUGUUAUGGGGAGAAUGAAUUUCAUGACCGUUACCUA
This is a long non-coding RNA of Benincasa hispida (wax gourd), 886 nucleotides long. RefSeq lists it as uncharacterized. The record is from RefSeq and is a predicted model, not a curated record. NCBI's taxonomy places the organism in Eukaryota, Viridiplantae, Streptophyta, Magnoliopsida, Cucurbitales, Cucurbitaceae.